UUAAUAUAUGCGGGAGUCAAUGGGCCUUGGCCAGGCCCAGAGGCUCAAUCAAAGCAAAGGGUUGCAGAACGCCGUCUGAGUUGGGAUCCUGAAGCUUUCCGGCGUCCAAGGAGCAUCAACGACCCGUCCUGUCCGAUUUAUUUCCAUCGGCCGGAGUAUUGAGCGUACAUGUUGGGACCCGAAAGAUGGUGAACUAUGCCCGGGCAGGACGAGGCCAGAGGAGCUGUUUUGACAUGCAAAUCGAUCGUCAGAUCUGGGCCUAGGGGCGAAAGACUAAUUAAACCAUCUAGCAGCUGG
RNAcentral lists this non-coding RNA (297 nucleotides) under Stegodyphus mimosarum. Its description in RNAcentral is "Eukaryotic large subunit ribosomal RNA". It matches the Rfam family "Eukaryotic large subunit ribosomal RNA", at positions 675 to 954 of the family's 3401-position model. The record is from Rfam by way of RNAcentral. Lineage: Eukaryota; Metazoa; Arthropoda; Arachnida; Araneae; Eresidae.